RNAcentral lists this ribosomal RNA (505 nucleotides) under uncultured bacterium. Its description in RNAcentral is "partial 16S ribosomal RNA". It matches the Rfam family "Bacterial small subunit ribosomal RNA", at positions 28 to 507 of the family's 1533-position model. The record is from RNAcentral.
GACGAACGCUGGCGGCGUGCCUAAUACAUGCAAGUAGAACGCACAGUUUAUACCGUAGCUUGCUACACCAUAGACUGUGAGUUGCGAACGGGUGAGUAACGCGUAGGUAACCUGCCUGGUAGCGGGGGAUAACUAUUGGAAACGAUAGCUAAUACCGCAUAAUAUUGAUUAUUGCAUGAUAAUUGAUUGAAAGAUGCUAUUGCAUCACUACCAGAUGGACCUGCGUUGUAUUAGCUAGUAGGUGAGGUAACGGCUCACCUAGGCGACGAUACAUAGCCGACCUGAGAGGGUGAUCGGCCACACUGGGACUGAGACACGGCCCAGACUCCUACGGGAGGCAGCAGUAGGGAAUCUUCGGCAAUGGACGAAAGUCUGACCGAGCAACGCCGCGUGAGUGAAGAAGGUUUUCGGAUCGUAAAGCUCUGUUGUAAGAGAAGAACGGGUGUGAGAGUGGAAAGUUCACACUGUGACGGUAUCUUACCAGGAAGAGACGGCUAACUACGUG